UGUCUAUUUACAUGUCAAUAAAAUUCAAUCCGAGGGCAGUUUAGUCAUUCUAGCUUAUGUCACUUACCUGUCUUUUAUAUUCGUUGCCACGUUUGCCCGUCAUACCUAUCUUCUCGAUGUUUCUUCUUGGAGUUCUCAGUUCUACUCAUGGAUCAGCUCUUCAUAGCAGGGUACAAAAUGUUGUAGUGCCGGUGAUCAGUUAUUAAGAGGAGGAUGGUUAUACUUAUUUCGGAAGUUUAUGACAACCUUGAUGUUUCAAAUUUGCAGGUGCGGAAUAAUAUAUUAUAGGAGAGUUUCAAAGCAAUGUAUAGUUGCAGCCCGUUCCCGAGCUUCAAGAGGUCAAACUGGUUCAGCAGAAAAUCAUCCAUGAGAAACAGGCAGAGAAUUGUAGAUUUCCUCGGAAGGUGAGAUAUUCUGUGGAUGAAGCAAAUGCUAAUAACUGAGGUGAUCCAACAUCCAAAAACGCAUCUUCUGAGGAGGAAGGAGCUUGGAGGCAAGGAAUGGUAAUAUUCAAUGAAGCUGCUAGAAGGCAGGUUUAUGAAAGAUGACAUGACAAUUCAUAUCAUGUAUCCUUUCUAAGGAACAAUAAUCUGCCGCAUGAAGGAACUAGACCAAGUGAGAUACGCCGUGACAUAAAACCGAGCAAUAAAGUACCUAAUACCAAGGACACUCAUCCAGACUUGUAAAAUAGCAAUAAUCAUACAUUAGUUGUUAGAUAAAAGGCAAUUCGAAUAUUUUUACCUAUUGACGUUUAUAGUUGUGGUGCUAUUUAAUUAGUAUCUAGCCAUUAACAAGCAUCAAGGUUUUAGUAUUUGAAAUUUCAUGUUGGAACAACCAACUUUCACAAUCUUGGGCCCGUGCUGGCACAGGCAUUUACUGCCUAGUAUUAUAGAGUUUGUCUUAGUUUAAAAAUUAUACGACUAAUCUCAAAUAGCCAUAAAUAGUGGAAAGUCAUAUAAACAAAUAUAGUGAUUCAGAAAAUAACAACGUGAGCAUCAAAUAAGAAAAAGAAAUAUCCGCAUCAACCUAAAAUACAAUUAACAACCAAAAUUAAAUAAAAAAUAAAAAAUGCUAAUGAUGGGGGAGAAAUAGGAGGGACCAAUUAGAACAGUGUUAAAUCCCAUGAAAUUUAUAUUGUGAUACUUCAUAUAAUUCAUAGCGCUUAUUGGUAAAAAUAAACAUAAGAGGAAGUAAAGAAGUGAAGUCUACUAAUGGGCAUGAUAAUUAGCCUAAUAUUGGAACCGAAUAUUUAUAGUUACAGCAAAAGGUAAAUAACAAAGGUGGCAGUAUUUACUAUUUUCUACUAAAAAUCAGUAAUGACUGUAUCAUAGUCAAAAUUUUCAUGACGAAAGAUAUCCAUUUUCAUAAUAGUAACUCUGAAAAUAUGUAUAAUAAGAGGUACAACUAUAAAAUUAGCGAACAUAAUAGAAGAAAAAUGAAAAAAAUGUACGUGGUAUAAUAUUUUUAGAUUGGUUGUGCAUGGUAUAGAUAGUGUCAAACAAAAACAGUAUUCUUUAUGGAAAAAGAUUCCAGUUGAAAAUGAUUUGAUAGAGUGACGAAUUGCUUAAUUGAUUUCAUAGUCCACUUUUAUAAGGUGAAAGAAAGAAGAAGAAAAGAUCGAUACAUGAAUAUGUAAUAAUUGUUGGAAGUUAGAAGGAAUAAGUAUUGAAUGUAGGUUUUUAAAAUCCAAAGGUUGAGAUAGUAAUUAACAUGUACAUCGCACUAAAGUACCGGAUGAUGAUGACAACAAUACUUAGGAUUUGGAUAGGUUGCAGUAAGUGGUACAAAA
This is a long non-coding RNA of Lycium ferocissimum, 1789 nucleotides long. RefSeq lists it as uncharacterized. The record is from RefSeq and is a predicted model, not a curated record. The transcript has 5 exons. Lineage: Eukaryota; Viridiplantae; Streptophyta; Magnoliopsida; Solanales; Solanaceae.